RNAcentral lists this ribosomal RNA (989 nucleotides) under Bacillus sp. X26. RNAcentral describes it as "bacterial SSU rRNA". It matches the Rfam family "Bacterial small subunit ribosomal RNA", at positions 271 to 1251 of the family's 1533-position model. Lineage: Bacteria; Bacillati; Bacillota; Bacilli; Caryophanales; Bacillaceae. The record is from RNAcentral.
AGGCACCGAUGCGUAGCCGACCUGAGAGGGUGAUCGGCCACACUGGGACUGAGACACGGCCCAGACUCCUACCGGAGGCAGCAGUAGGGAAUCUUCCGCAUUGGACGAAAGUCUGACGGAGCAACGCCGCGUGAGUGAUGAAGGCUUUCGGGUCGUAAAACUCUGUGGUUAGGGAGGAACAAGUGCUAGUUGAAUAAGCUGGCACCUUGACGGUACCUAACCAGAAAGCCACGGCUAACUACGUGCCAGCAGCCGCGGUAAUACGUAGGUGGCAAGCGUUUCCCGGAAUUAUUGGGCGUAAAGCGCGCGCAGGUGGUUUCUUAAGUCUGAUGUGAAAGCCCACGGCUCAACCGUGGAGGGUCAUUGGAAACUGGGAGACUUGAGUGCAGAAGAGGAAAGUGGAAUUCCAUGUGUAGCGGUGAAAUGCGUAGAGAUAUGGAGGAACACCAGUGGCGAAGGCGACUUUCUGGUCUGUAACUGACACUGAGGCGCGAAAGCGUGGGGAGCAAACAGGAUUAGAUACCCUGGUAGUCCACGCCGUAAACGAUGAGUGCUAAGUGUUAGAGGGUUUCCGCCCUUUAGUGCUGAAGUUAACGCAUUAAGCACUCCGCCUGGGGAGUACGGCCGCAAGGCUGAAACUCAAAGGAAUUGACGGGGGCCCGCACAAGCGGUGGAGCAUGUGGUUUAAUUCGAAGCAACGCGAAGAACCUUACCAGGUCUUGACAUCCUCUGAAAACCCUAGAGAUAGGGCUUCUCCUUCGGGAGCAGAGUGACAGGUGGUGCAUGGUUGUCGUCAGCUCGUGUCGUGAGAUGUUGGGGUUAAGUCCCGCAACGAGCGCAACCCUUGAUCUUGGUUGCCAUCAUUAAGUUGGGCACUCUAAGGUGACUGCCGGUGACAAACCGGAGGAAGGUGGGGAUGACGUCAAAUCAUCAUGCCCCUUAUGACCUGGGCUACCCACGUGCUACAAUGGACGGUACAAGGAGCUGCA